UAAAUUAUACGUGAUGGUGUUCGCGGUUAACUAUCGAAAGAUUGAUGACACCUACCCUCUA
RNAcentral lists this non-coding RNA (61 nucleotides) under Liquorilactobacillus capillatus. Its description in RNAcentral is "Lactobacillus capillatus Fluoride sequence". It matches the Rfam family "Fluoride riboswitch aptamer (crcB RNA motif)". The record is from RNAcentral. RNAcentral also lists the same sequence under 1 other name. Lineage: Bacteria; Bacillati; Bacillota; Bacilli; Lactobacillales; Lactobacillaceae.